UACGGAGGAUGCGAGCGUUAUCCGGAUUUAUUAGGUUUAAAGGGUGUGUAGGCGGUAUUUUAAGUCAGUGGUGAAAUCUUUCAGCUUAACUGAGAAACUGCCAUUGAUACUGGAAUACUUGAGUAUAGUUGAGGUAGGCGGAAUAUGUAAUGUAGCGGUGAAAUGCAUAGAUAUUACAUAGAACACCGAUUGCGAAGGCAGCUUACUAAACUAUUACUGACGCUGAUGCACGAAAGCGUGGGGAGCGAACAGGAUUAGAAACCCUAGUAGUCC
RNAcentral lists this ribosomal RNA (273 nucleotides) under uncultured bacterium. RNAcentral's name for it is "partial 16S ribosomal RNA". It matches the Rfam family "Bacterial small subunit ribosomal RNA", at positions 524 to 796 of the family's 1533-position model. The record is from RNAcentral.